This 497-nucleotide ribosomal RNA is filed under the name uncultured bacterium. RNAcentral describes it as "partial 16S ribosomal RNA". It matches the Rfam family "Bacterial small subunit ribosomal RNA", at positions 28 to 507 of the family's 1533-position model. The record is from RNAcentral.
GAUGAACGCUGGCGGCGUGCCUAAUACAUGCAAGUCGAGCGAACGGACGAGAAGCUUGCUUCUCUGAUGUUAGCGGCGGACGGGUGAGUAACACGUGGAUAACCUACCUAUAAGACUGGGAUAACUUCGGGAAACCGGAGCUAAUACCGGAUAAUAUUUUGAACCGCAUGGUUCAAAAGUGAAAGACGGUCUUGCUGUCACUUAUAGAUGGAUCCGCGCUGCAUUAGCUAGUUGGUAAGGUAACGGCUUACCAAGGCAACGAUGCAUAGCCGACCUGAGAGGGUGAUCGGCCACACUGGAACUGAAACACGGUACAGACUCCUACGGGAUGCAGCAGUAGGGAAUCUUCCGCAAGGGGCGAAAGCCUGACGGAGCAACGCCGCGUGAGUGAUGAAGGUCUUCGGAUCGUAAAACUCUGUUAUUAGGGAAGAACAUAUGUGUAAGUAACUGUGCACAUCUUGACGGUACCUAAUCAGAAAGCCACGGCUAACUACGUG